GAGACCGGCGCACGGGUGCGUAACGCGUAUGCAAUCUACCUCUAUCUGGGGGAUAGCCCGAAGAAAUUCGGAUUAACACCGCAUAAAAUCACAGUACCGCAUGGUACAAUGAUCAAAUAUUUAUAGGAUAGAGAUGAGCAUGCGUGUCAUUAGUUAGUUGGUGGGGUAACGGCCCACCAAGACCGCGAUGACUAGGGGAUCUGAGAGGAUGACCCCCCACACUGGUACUGAGACACGGACCAGACUCCUACGGGAGGCAGCAGUAAGGAAUAUUGGUCAAUGGAGGCAACUCUGAACCAGCCAUGCCGCGUGCAGGAAGACAGCCCUCUGGGUCGUAAACUGCUUUUAUUCGGGAAUAAACCUAUCUACGUGUAGAUAGCUGAAUGUACCGAAGGAAUAAGGAUCGGCUAACUCCGUGCCAGCAGCCGCGGUAAUACGGAGGAUCCAAGCGUUAUCCGGAUUUAUUGGGUUUAAAGGGUGCGUAGGCGG
Molecule: ribosomal RNA, 489 nt
Filed under: uncultured Pedobacter sp.
Lineage: Bacteria; Pseudomonadati; Bacteroidota; Sphingobacteriia; Sphingobacteriales; Sphingobacteriaceae
Description: bacterial SSU rRNA
Rfam family: Bacterial small subunit ribosomal RNA
Source: RNAcentral